AAUGAACGCUGGCGGCGCGCCUAAUACAUGCAAGUCGAGCGAGAAGACGUAGCAAUACGUUUGUAAAGCGGCGAACGGGUGAGGAAUACAUGGGUAACCUACCCUCGAGUGGGGAAGUAACUAGCCGAAAGGUUAGCUAAUACCGCGUACGCUUCUUGGACUUCGGUUCAGGGAGGAAAGCGAUGCCGAGGGUAUCGCGCUCUUGGAUGGGCUCAUGUCCUAUCAGCUUGUUGGNGAGGUAACGGCUCACCAAGGCUUCGACGGGUAGCCUGGUCUGAGAGGACGAUCAGCCACACUGGCACUGCGACACGGGCCAGACUCCUACGGGAGGCAGCAGUAAGGAAUAUUGCGCAAUGGGCGAAAG
Molecule: ribosomal RNA, 364 nt
Filed under: uncultured bacterium
Lineage: Bacteria
Description: bacterial SSU rRNA
Rfam family: Bacterial small subunit ribosomal RNA
Source: RNAcentral